Long non-coding RNA from Entelurus aequoreus (snake pipefish), 440 nucleotides. RefSeq lists it as uncharacterized. NCBI's taxonomy places the organism in Eukaryota, Metazoa, Chordata, Actinopteri, Syngnathiformes, Syngnathidae. The transcript has 3 exons. The record is from RefSeq and is a predicted model, not a curated record.
GCCAAAGAGAGCCUACGUGGACGAGCAGCUGACUAGUAGAGGUCACAGCUAACGCCUCAGCAUCAGCGCCGUGACGGCUAACGCGGGUGUGCGGACUCAUGGCAGCGAGGAGUCGUCAAGCUCGUCGUUGUCAGAGAGGACGCGUCCCGAGGACACGAUGACCGCCCGCCGCUGCUCCUCCUCGCAACUUUUCCCUUGGGUGCCCUCGAUGUGCUGGAUCGCCUUCGGAGACACGAGAGAGUGAAGACAUGAGGGCGAGUUGCCAUGGACGCCCUCUGGUGCGUGGGUGUACCAUUGCAUGUAACUGUCAUACAAGAGUACGGUAUAAUUGAGGUUCUGUCGGGAUGUGGAGACCGUGUUGAUGACAGACGCCGGGCCCAUGGUUACCACGGUGACGUGAUGGGGCUGCUGAGGUUGGACUGGCGCUGGGACGAUGACAG